RNAcentral lists this ribosomal RNA (322 nucleotides) under uncultured eukaryote. RNAcentral's name for it is "partial 18S ribosomal RNA". It matches the Rfam family "Eukaryotic small subunit ribosomal RNA", at positions 1470 to 1796 of the family's 1831-position model. The record is from RNAcentral.
CCCUUAGAUGUUCUGGGCCGCACGCGUGCUACACUGAGUGGAUCAGCGGGUCAGGUUACGCGAGAGCGUUUCCUAAUCUUCAAAUCCGCUCGUGAUGGGGAUUGACGGUUGCAAUUUUCCGUCAUGAACGAGGAAUACCUUGUAAGCGCGGGUCAUCAUCCCGCGCUGAAUACGUCCCUGCCCUUUGUACACACCGCCCGUCGCUCCUACCGAUUGAGUGGUCCGGUGAGGCUUUGGGAUCUAAGCGAAAGGAGCGUUUCGCUCCUUUUGCUGGGAGAACUCAGUCGAACCUUAUCAUUUAGAGGAAGGAGAAGUCGUAACA